This 373-nucleotide ribosomal RNA is filed under the name uncultured organism. Its description in RNAcentral is "partial 16S ribosomal RNA". It matches the Rfam family "Bacterial small subunit ribosomal RNA", at positions 527 to 896 of the family's 1533-position model. The record is from RNAcentral.
GUAGGUGGCAAGCGUUGUCCGGAAUUAUUGGGGCGUAAAGCGCGCGCAGGCGGUUCUUUAAGUCUGAUGUGAAAGCCCACGGGCUCAACCGUGGAGGGUCAUUGGAAACUGGAGAACUUGAGUACAGAAGAGGAAAGCGGAAUUCCACGUGUAGCGGUGAAAUGCGUAGAGAUGUGGAGGAACACCAGUGGCGAAGGCGGCUUUCUGGUCUGUAACUGACGCUGAGGCGCGAAAGCGUGGGAGCAAACAGGAUUAGAUACCCUGGUAGUCCACGCCGUAAACGAUGAGUGCUAAGUGUUAGGGGGUUUCCGCCCCUUAGUGCUGCAGCUAACGCAUUAAGCACUCCGCCUGGGGAGUACGGCCGCAAAGGCUG